This is a long non-coding RNA of Bactrocera neohumeralis, 1582 nucleotides long. RefSeq lists it as uncharacterized. The record is from RefSeq and is a predicted model, not a curated record. The transcript is spliced from 2 exons. Lineage: Eukaryota; Metazoa; Arthropoda; Insecta; Diptera; Tephritidae.
UGUAAAGUUUCGUGAAUCAAUAUUUUUACUCGUGAACUAAAAAAGAAAAAAUAAUAAAAAUUAAAGAUAUGGAAGAAAAACAAAAAAACGCGAUUGUAUACUUGAUUACGCAGAUUGCUGCCAGUAAUAAGAAGUUGGCAAAAAUACGGAAAAGACGACAACUUAGGUUGGAAAAAAUAUUAACUGAGAUAAAAAUGCAAAAUUCCUUAUUGCUUUUUGUAAUAAAUAACAAUAGGCCAAAAUGUUUGUGGAAACACGUAAGCAAUUACAUCAUUUUAUAAAAUUCCCACUUGGCGUUGUAUUGUAGGAAAGGCGCGGUAAUUUUUGGGAGUUCGACGUUGCUUUUAAUAGUGACCAAUUCUUCAAGGAGAGCUCCAGAAUGAGUCGGCAAUCAUUCAAAAUUUUAUGUAAUCAGCUAACAAACAUUGGCAAAUGUGAUACUACAUACAGGCAAUGUAUUCCCUUAGAAAAAGAAUAGCUAUCGCUUUGUAUGCCCUUGGUUCUUCUGCUGAGUACAGAACAGUUGGAAAACUAUUCGGGGUUUCCAAAGCGUCUGUAUGUUGUAUCCUUAAAGACUUUUGCAGAGCGGUGUGGGACAUACUAUCACCUAAAUAUUUCGCCAGCUCAUUUCUUACGCAAGAAAAAAUUACGGAGUGCGUUGAAGGAUUUAGAAAAAUUGGAUUUCCCCAAUGUCUGGGCGCAGUAGGUAAGUUUAUGAAUUUGAAAUAUUUUACCCCUAACAUGCAAAUACAAUUUAUUUCAGAUGGAUGUCACAUUAAGGUUAGGCCCUACGCAUCUGAUGCUGUUGACUAUUUCAACUAUAAAGGUUGGUACUCAAUGGUUUUACUAGCCCUCGUAGACUACAAGUAAGUUAACAACAUACAUGUUUUGGAAAAUACUUAAAACAUUUUUUUUUUGAUAUAGGUUUAUGUACAUUAAUGUUGGAGCACCUGGUCGUUGUAAUGAUUCCCAAAUAUUUGAAAAAUCCGACUUGAAAAGAAUGUUUCAAAACCCUCUGCUUAAAGAGAAUGCGAAAAAACUUUGUGACACUAAUGUCCCAAUUGUAGUUCUAGGAGACUCGGUGUUUCGCUUUAGUCCGUUUCUAAUAAAACCCUAUCCCUAUAACCAAGCCGCUGAGGAUCACGAGAAUAUUUUCAAUUACCACUUAUCUAAAUCUCGAAGGGUUGUGGAGAUUUGGCCACCUGAAGGCAAGGUUUAGAUGGAUAGGGAAAGGAUUUGACAAAGAUAUUAAAAACGCUAUAUUAAUAAUAAAAUGUUCUUGCGUCAUGCACAAAUUUGUAAAUGAAAUGAAAUGAAUGAUAGCAUAAACACGAAAUGGUUGCAAAUGCAAACAAAUUUCGAAAGCGCACACCCCCGAGAGCAACCUGAUCCAUUAUUCCGACGACCCUAAUGCAGAGAACAUCAGAAAAUCAAUAGCUCUAUUUCUAUGUUCCUCGUCUACACACGGCAAUUCUUCCUGGGAAUAAAGCGUAAUGGAAGAGCUGUUAAGGGGUGAUGCACAGUCUACAACUUCGUGAACUGUUAUAAAUUAGUUUAUAAAAAUAAAUAUAAACUUUCCAAA